Molecule: long non-coding RNA, 341 nt
Organism: Mustela lutreola (European mink)
Lineage: Eukaryota; Metazoa; Chordata; Mammalia; Carnivora; Mustelidae
Exons: 3
Source: RefSeq, a predicted model, not a curated record
AUUUUAUUACUUUGAAGCAUGGUCAUGAUCACAUAAGGGGUUACAGUCUACAUUAAAGACAAACAGAUGGCUAUAUACACCACAGCCUGGCACAUGGCCUCACCAUUAGUGUGUUCAGAAAGUUUGCUGACCCUGUACAAGAUGGCUACAGUCCCAGCCAACAUCCAGGAAGCAGAAUGUGCAGCUGAAGCAAAUCAACCCACAGAAUCCUGAGCAAUAAUCAAAUAGUUUGCUGUCUUAAAUCAUUAAGUUUUGAGAUGGAUUAUUAUGCAGCAACAAUUGAAAGAAAUUAUAAAAUCUGAUAUCUGUAUUUUAUAAACUUGAUGAUUUCAUGGCUUAAA